Molecule: ribosomal RNA, 257 nt
Filed under: uncultured bacterium
Lineage: Bacteria
Description: partial small subunit ribosomal RNA
Rfam family: Bacterial small subunit ribosomal RNA
Source: RNAcentral
AGGACGAACGCUGGCGGCGUGCUUAACACAUGCAAGUCGAACGGUAAGGCCCCUUCGGGGGUACACGAGUGGCGAACGGGUGAGUAACACGUGAGCAACCUGCCCUUGACUCUGGAAUAACAGUUGGAAACAGCUGCUAAUACCGGGUAUGACCUGUCACCGCAUGGUGGUGGGUGGAAAGUUCUGGCGGUCAGGGAUGGGCUCGCGGCCUAUCAGCUAGUUGGUGAGGUAAUGGCUCACCAAGGCUUCGACGGGUA